GUGAAAAACACAAAGCUUCUGUGUGUAGAGGUGUGUGAGAGGAAUAAUAGAGUGUUGAGUAAAUCCAGAGAGUGUGGGAAAAAUACACCGGGUGGGUAUCAUCUCUAUAACUUCUAGGUGCUAUAAAAUAAUAGCAUUAGAAUAGAAGUAGGUCUUACGGGAAACACUAUAUUGUAUCUCUUGUGUGUGUAAGAGAGUGGAGAGAAUUGUAAUAUUCUUUAAUAUAGUGGAAUAUUUUUCGGAGUUUGUCCCGUGGUUUUUCCCUCGGUAUUAGAGGGUUUUCCACGUUAAAUAUUGGUGUUCAUUUUUUUUAUCGCUACCGCUGCGCUGCAAGAUCCAAUCUCUUUUGGAUUUUGGAAUUUUAAUUUACACUUGCGUUAAGCUCGUCGAGCCCAACAUCUAGGUCUCUAUGUCCCGUUGCUUCUUCCGCUUCCCGUUCAUUCAACACCAACAUCAACACCAUGCGCCAGUAUGAUGAACACUCUGAUGAGUCCAAUGUUGCCGAUCGUCGUCGUGCUGAUCGCUCUUUCCCUCGCACUCUCCGCGACAAUUUCCUCUCCGGUAGGGAAUUAGGAUUCACUGUUCUUUGUGGGAUACAUAUGCCGAGAGAAUGGAUGCUUACUUGACUGUGCGAGAUUCAACAUCUCCUGUUG
This 653-nucleotide long non-coding RNA is filed under the name Medicago truncatula (barrel medic). RNAcentral's name for it is "lncRNA gene26261". Lineage: Eukaryota; Viridiplantae; Streptophyta; Magnoliopsida; Fabales; Fabaceae. The record is from RNAcentral.